UACGUAGGGUCCGAGCGUUGUCCGGAGUUACUGGGCGUAAAGGGCGCGUAGGCGGCCUGCUAAGUCGAACGUGAAAUCCCCGGGCUCAACCCGGGAACUGCGUCCGAUACUGACAGGCUCGAAUCCGGGAGAGGGAUGUGGAAUUCCAGGUGUAGCGGUGAAAUGCGUAGAUAUCUGGAGGAAUACCGGUGGCGAAGGCGGCAUCCUGGACCGACAUUGACGCUGAACGGCGAAAGCUAGGGGAGCAAACGGG
RNAcentral lists this ribosomal RNA (253 nucleotides) under uncultured prokaryote. Its description in RNAcentral is "partial 16S ribosomal RNA". It matches the Rfam family "Bacterial small subunit ribosomal RNA", at positions 524 to 776 of the family's 1533-position model. The record is from RNAcentral.